UGUCCCUAUCUACUAUCUAGCGAAACCACAGCCAAGGGAACAGGCUUGGCACUAUCAGUGGGGGAAGAAGACCCUGUUAAACUUGACUCUAGUCAGACAUUGUUUAGGGACAUGAAGGGUGUAGAAUAAGUGGGAGUUAUUUCUGAUAACGCCGGUGAAAUACCACUACCUUCAUCGUCUCUUUACUUACUCGGUACUGCGGAGAAAACCCCAAAUUUUGGGGUCUGUAUGGCUUUGAAACCUAAUGCCACUCGGCAGUUGGGUGAUCCGCUCCGGAGAAAGUGUCCGGUAGAGAGUUUAACUGAAGCGGUAUACCUGUCAAACGGUAACGCAGGUGUCCUAAGGCCAGCUCAGCGGGGACAGAAACCUCGCGUAGAGCAAAAGGGCAAAAGUUGUCUUGAUCCUGAUUUUCAGUACGAUUACGGACCGCGAAAGCGCGGCCUAUCAAUCCUUUUGAGUUUACGAGUUUUAAGCAAGAGGUGUCAGAAAAGUUACUACAGGAUAACUGGCUUGUGGCGGCCAAGCGUUCAUAGCGACGUCGCUUUUUGAUUUUUUGAUGUCGGCUCUUCCUAUCAUUGCGAAGCAGAAUUCGCAAAGCGUUGGAUUGUUCACCCACUAACAGGGAAUGUGAGCUGGAUUUAGAUCGUCGUGAGAUAGAUUAGUUUUACCCUUCUGAUGGCUAGUUUUUGCGAUAGCAAUUGAGCUGAGUACGAGAGGAACCGCAGGUUCGGAAAUUUGGUAUGUGCGCCUGGCCGGAAGGCCAACGGUGCUAGGCUACCGUCCGCGGGUUAACGGCUGAACGCCUCUCAGCUGGAAGCCCGCCUAACCGGUGGCAGAGAUAGCGUGUGCCGCCAGCUAUCACUUGGCGAAUUUAGGCCCGCUCUUCCUGUGGAUUGAGGGCCGAAGAAGCCUUUUCGGUGAUCUGAACAGUUUCUGGGGUCGACCCGACUGUGUCUCCCCUGUGCUCUUUGACCUGAGCCUCCUAGUUCGAAGGAGGUGUGAUGCGGUGGUGCCGAAUCGUCCGUAGACAACUCACCAACUGGUCGAGGUGUCGUAAGUGCGAGAGCAGCCACCUUACUGCGAUCCACUGAAACUCGUCCC
RNAcentral lists this ribosomal RNA (1101 nucleotides) under Nephila pilipes (giant wood spider). Its description in RNAcentral is "partial 28S ribosomal RNA". It matches the Rfam family "Eukaryotic large subunit ribosomal RNA", at positions 2340 to 3384 of the family's 3401-position model. Lineage: Eukaryota; Metazoa; Arthropoda; Arachnida; Araneae; Nephilidae. The record is from RNAcentral.